Molecule: long non-coding RNA, 1331 nt
Filed under: Betta splendens (Siamese fighting fish)
Lineage: Eukaryota; Metazoa; Chordata; Actinopteri; Anabantiformes; Osphronemidae
Description: lncRNA (ENSBSLG00000001138.1)
Source: RNAcentral
GUUAUUUAUGUAGGCAGUAGAACUUUAAGCAGCACAAUUUAACAUUACAUUUGAAGAAUAGCUGUGCCAGUAUCAGCCCAACAGCAUUUCCUACACAACAAUUAGCUUAAAGGGCCCAUAUCAUGCAAAAUCCACUUUUUAGACAUUUUGGAGCGUCCCUAUGACUCUAUGGGUCACAUAUACACACACUGAGCACGGUAGAAAUGCAUUUCCUGCUUUUUUCACAUUUUGAAAACGUAAAUUUUCUCAUCCAAUGAAAACAGCCACGACCUACUCUGAGGCCGUGUCCCAGUUGUCGUCACACUGGUUGAAAGUUCUCCUUGCAAAUCCUGAACCACCACCCCCACAAUGAUCCCGAACCAAAACUGGACUUCCGCCCAUUUCCCCCCUCUCACUCACCGUGAACAGACCAGCACGGCCGCGCCCAAGUCCUCCCAUAGAAAUAGUUCGGUUCUUGGGUGUUCUAACCAACACCAAAGUCUAUUCACUUUAACAAGGGAUCAACAAGUGAGGAUUUGUGGGUCACUUUUAUUUUUAACGGACCGGUGCCAGAAACACUGCCUCAGCAUUUAUACGUAUGUGCAUUUCAAACGAGGGUGCGUACAAUGCUGGAUUUGUUUCACGGCUCCUGUUGGAAAAAAAGGACCUAUUCCUAAAGUCCGUCAUCCACUCACUGAAGAGGGCAAAUCCCAGUUGCCCACAUGCAAGGAGGCUGUCAAACAGAGAAAUCACUGCAGACUGUUGGUACACAGACAUCUGCUGCCCAGCUCAGGAGUGAAGGUAUGUAAGUUUGUAUGUACCAACAGUAAGAUAGGUAAUAGAAGAUUUUAACUGGUAUAUACUGUUUAGAUUUUAUAUUUGAAUUGUAACAACUGUUUAUCUGUUGUUUUAGCACAGACAGGCCUGUCCUCUUGUUUGGUUUAAUUUUUUGUCUGGUAUUGUGUGUUCUUACAUUAGAGAAGGUUUUGACCUACAUAAUAAUGAACAUUUCACUAAUCUACAAUUCUGAUUGCAGUACCUUUUGUUUUGAUGAGGUGAUGGUGAGGACAGCCACAGCUUCCAUCUGGUAGAGGACUGCUUCCGCUCAGUCUUCCAAAUAGUGAUGAGAACAAGGAUCACCACAUCUCCCUGUUUACCCUACUUUCAUGCAUUUCGUCUGCAAGGCCCUGCAAAAGCUUCUCCUUCGUCCUCAAACCCCCAGACUUCUUAAUUAACUCAGUAACCUAUACAUUGCACAUUGGAGUGUGAAGGUAACAGUUUGUUCUAGCUUUGGAGUAGUGGUGCAUUUUUUUGGUUUACAAUAAAGUUGGCUUUAACUAUUAUGUAUUUCA